GAAAGGGACAGGACGAAGAUAGGCCACACGGCCCCUCCUAAGGAAUGGGCAUGCACCCAACUCUUAGGUUUUGUACCCAUGGCUAGUCUUUUCCCAGGGAAAAUGGGAGAGAGUACAUUUCUAACAGCAGGAAGGACUGAGGCCAGACAACAGAAGAAAUUUCUGCCAGUGAAUAACAACUCGGAUAUUACAGAAAACCGAAGAUCUGGUGUUUUAAAGCAUUAAUCUGUUCAUUGUAAUCAAAUUAUCUGAUUUAUUAAAAAUGUAAAGGAUUAUUGCAGUAUUUUGAA
This is a long non-coding RNA of Dipodomys spectabilis (banner-tailed kangaroo rat), 290 nucleotides long. RefSeq lists it as uncharacterized. The record is from RefSeq and is a predicted model, not a curated record. NCBI's taxonomy places the organism in Eukaryota, Metazoa, Chordata, Mammalia, Rodentia, Heteromyidae. The transcript is spliced from 2 exons.